RNAcentral lists this ribosomal RNA (330 nucleotides) under Triticum aestivum (bread wheat). RNAcentral describes it as "partial small subunit ribosomal RNA". Lineage: Eukaryota; Viridiplantae; Streptophyta; Magnoliopsida; Poales; Poaceae. The record is from RNAcentral.
AUGGGAAUUGUGGACUUACAUAGGGGAGUCCGCGUUGAUGGGGAUCUUCUCAAGGUCGAUCGAGCCGCACGUUUUCAUCCAAGGCCGCCAUUUUCUUGGGGGCACGCGGCGCUGGCGGAGACCAUUGGGUGGCGGCGCAGGGGAGAAAGCACGAGGAGCGUUGCGGAGGGGAACCGAGCGGCAUUAGUGGUGGCGAUUCUGGAGACCGAUUUCCCCUGCAGCUCACGAGAUCGGGAGGGUGAGGGUGGGAGGCGAGAGAGAAAGAGAGGUGGGCACCCUGGACCUGGAGGCCUCGCUCGUUCCUGCCUACGUGCGGGUCGUGGAGGGUGA